This 69-nucleotide transfer RNA is filed under the name Lanceolaria lanceolata. Its description in RNAcentral is "tRNA-Lys". The record is from RNAcentral. Lineage: Eukaryota; Metazoa; Mollusca; Bivalvia; Unionida; Unionidae.
AUCCAUGAUGGCCGAGACAUCAGGCGUCGAGCUUUUAACUCGACUACAGUUAUUCCCAACUUCUGGAUA